Long non-coding RNA from Rosa chinensis, 1244 nucleotides. RefSeq lists it as uncharacterized. Lineage: Eukaryota; Viridiplantae; Streptophyta; Magnoliopsida; Rosales; Rosaceae. The record is from RefSeq and is a predicted model, not a curated record. The transcript is spliced from 5 exons.
AUUGCUGCCAUGACUCUGCUUUAGGUCAUGACUCUAUUUUAGUCUCUUAUCUGAUUUUGACCUCUAUUUCUUCCUCUCUUUUUUUUUUAUCUAGAAUCAGCAUGGUCCUCUUUAUCCUCCUUUUUACUAACCCACUGGCAGCCUAGUAAGUUUUUUGUGCUUUAGUUUCUGAAAUUUGUCUAAUACAAGUCUGAUUAAGUUUUGGUGUUUGGUAUGUGAUUGCUUGGUUAGUAUUCAAAUCUGUAUUGAAUUGUAGAUAUAACAUGUUAGUUACAAGAUUUUGAUUCGUCAAUAACUUGAUACAAGGUAAGAUUUCUUAUUAAUGAAGCAUUAAAGUUUGUACUCAACGUUUCAGUGGCUUAAUUGGUUUUGUACUUGAACUCUAGCUCUACAAGUUAUGGGACUCUUAAGGCUUUUGUUUUUCAGGCCCUACUUUUUCAUCUAUGAAAUUUCAUGACGGUUACUCUCUUUCUUGUUUACUUUGAUUUUUUUAGACUUACGUACUCUUUCUAAUUUCUAAUGUAGGGUGUUGAUAUUCAACUUGGAAUGGCAAUUGAUAGUAUAAAAGAAGUGUGGGAUGCAACUGCAGCUGAUCCUAAAUUGCUGGUCUUUUUGAAAUCGUACAGGAAUUUCUUACACACUGAAUCUGGAAUUAAAGCAGUAUCUCACUUUAAGAGUGGAAGUUGGGAAUGCAAGAUUUGAAUCGCUGGAUAGGAUGAAAGAAGAGAGCAAGGAAGCAACUAUGCAGCUAGUUGAUAUGGAGUGCGGUUACCUCACCAUUGAAUUUUUCCGCAAGCUUCCUCAGGAUAUUGAAAAGGGGGAAAUCCGACACACUCACUUUUCGACAGAUAUGGUUGGGCAUUCCUCCUCAACCUAGCAACAAGGAGUGCGGGUACUUUAUCAUGUGCUACAUGAGAGAUAUCAUUGAGGAUAAAGACAUGUCAUUGUUUCUUUCCAAGUGGGAGAGGAGAGGCAGCAACUAAUACACCCAAGCGGAUAUUGAUCAAGUGCGAAAUGAAUGGGGGAAGUUUUUUGUCAACACUUAUGUGCAUGAGCCAUGAAGUAGCGCGCUUGUUGCUGGUCCAUUUUUGCUAAGGAAAGCAUCUUUUUUUGUGCUUCACUGUUGGCCCAUUUUCAUGCACCAUGUGUGGCAUGUUUUGAAAAAAUAGAUACAUAUGUAUCAGCUUUUUGAUGUCCCAAGUAGAUGGGCACGCACUAAAUGCUUUUCUUGUUUAAAAUGUUGG